AAAUAGUAGUGAAGAAGCAGAUGAAACUCCUUAUGUGUUGUCUAGUACAAGUGAUGGAUCUAGUGCUCAUCAACAACAUUCUCAAACUAAUAAUAAGAAAAGAAGGAAAUUACCUGGAAAUCCUGAUCCUAGUGCUGAAGUUAUUGCGUUAUCACCAAAAACACUAAUGGCAACAAACAGGUUCAUCUGUGAAGUAUGCAAUAAAGGCUUCCAAAGGGAACAAAAUCUUCAACUACACAGGAGAGGACAUAAUUUACCAUGGAAACUAAAGCAAAAAACAAGCAAUGAGAUUAAAAAACGCGUUUAUAUUUGCCCAGAAAGUUCGUGCAUUCAUCAUAAUCCUUCUCGUGCUCUUGGAGAUCUUACGGGGAUUAAGAAACAUUUUUCUCGUAAACAUGGUGAAAAGAAAUGGAAAUGUGAAAAGUGCUCUAAAAAAUAUGCAGUGCAAUCUGACUGGAAAGCUCAUUCGAAAACCUGUGGCACAAAAGAGUAUAAAUGUGACUGUGGUACAAUCUUCUCCAGGAGGGAUAGCUUUGUGACUCAUAGAGCCUUUUGUGAUGCUCUAGCUGAAGAAAACAACAAAGUAAACCAAGUUUUAGCUUCAACCACACAACCUUUAGCCACUGGCCCUGAACUUAUUUCAACUACUCAAAUGUUGAACUUGCCACAAAUCAGAAAUUCAAACAUGAAAAUUCCUUCAAUACCCUUAAACAUGGCAGGAAGCAUGUUUUCCUCUUCUUCUGGAUUUAAUCAGCUAGGAACAAAUUCGUCGAAUAUGUCAUCAGCAACAGCGUUGUUACAACAGGCAGCUCAAAUGGGUGCAACAGUGAACAAUAA
RNAcentral lists this unclassified non-coding RNA (837 nucleotides) under Hevea brasiliensis (rubber tree). Lineage: Eukaryota; Viridiplantae; Streptophyta; Magnoliopsida; Malpighiales; Euphorbiaceae. The record is from RNAcentral.